Molecule: transfer RNA, 71 nt
Filed under: Notamacropus eugenii (tammar wallaby)
Lineage: Eukaryota; Metazoa; Chordata; Mammalia; Diprotodontia; Macropodidae
Also listed under: 2 other names
Description: tRNA-Cys (GCA) (tRNA-Cys-GCA-6-1)
Rfam family: tRNA
About the family: Transfer RNA (tRNA) molecules are approximately 80 nucleotides in length. Their secondary structure includes four short double-helical elements and three loops (D, anti-codon, and T loops). Further hydrogen bonds mediate the characteristic L-shaped molecular structure. tRNAs have two regions of fundamental functional importance: the anti-codon, which is responsible for specific mRNA codon recognition, and the 3' end, to which the tRNAs corresponding amino acid is attached (by aminoacyl-tRNA synthetases). tRNAs cope with the degeneracy of the genetic code in two manners: having more than one tRNA (with a specific anti-codon) for a particular amino acid; and 'wobble' base-pairing, i.e. permitting non-standard base-pairing at the 3rd anti-codon position.
Source: RNAcentral
GGGGGUAUAGCUCAGGGGUAGAGCAUUUGACUGCAGAUCAAGAGGUCCUGGUUCAAAUCCAGGUGCCCCCU